ACGAGGGUAUGUGACCAAUACAAUUUGAUUUGAUUUGACUGUUAAUGUUAUACAAUUUCUCUGGCUAGAUGUUGCUGUUUGGCUAGUGGUCAGUCAGUGGCCCUAUUUUGGUGGUUUGGUUGGAGUGCUGAUGUCUUAUGGGCAUCGUUGUGAUACAGUUAGACAAUGAUGACUGAAGAGGAGACUACUUCCUGUGACGUCAUCAUGACAGCUGUCAAAGAAGACUCACAUGAGAGGAUCAUGUCCAGACAAGACCAGAGGAAAAGCUCACUAUUAGAGACUGGUACAGUAUGUGUGUGACUCUCCAGCAACAGGAGCUGAGGCUGUCUGAGGGCUCUUACAGACCUUCCAGGCCAAGCCCAGUCCUUCCUGGCCCAGCAGAGGCAGUCCACCCAGGCCAGGAGCAGGAGAGGCAUGGGCUCUCUCCAAGCUACAGCCCAGAUAGGAGGGAGAGAUGGAGGGAGAGGUCCUCUAUUGAGGAUGGUGGGAUUGACACUGGAUGGACAAGGAACGUUGGAAGAGGAUGUUGAUGGGAUUUUUGUGGCUGUUUAAAAAAAUCUUGGAUGUUAAAAAAACUAUUUUGUGUAACAUUGGCGCCCACUGCUGGUCAAAUGGUAUUGGUGUCGUUUUUUGUCCAUCUCAGUUUGAAUCUAAAAGUAAAGGAAUAGAUAGGACAGUAAAGGACUAUCACUAUUACAAUGUGUUGCCAAUGGAUUUUUGCGCUUCGAAUAAAAUAUCAACAUGA
Long non-coding RNA from Salvelinus sp. IW2-2015, 745 nucleotides. RefSeq lists it as uncharacterized. NCBI's taxonomy places the organism in Eukaryota, Metazoa, Chordata, Actinopteri, Salmoniformes, Salmonidae. The record is from RefSeq and is a predicted model, not a curated record.